GCCCAAGGUUCAAACCUG
This 18-nucleotide unclassified non-coding RNA is filed under the name Dictyostelium discoideum. Lineage: Eukaryota; Evosea; Eumycetozoa; Dictyosteliales; Dictyosteliaceae. The record is from RNAcentral.